ACGGCUCAGUAACACGUAGUCAACCUACCGUAAAGAAUGCGAUAACCUUGGGAAACUGAGGCUAAUAGCGUAUAGGCUAGGGAUUCUGGAAGGAGCCCUAACCCAAAGGUGCGCGAAAUGCAGCGUAACCGCUUUAUGAUGGGACUGCGUCGGAUCAGGCAGAUGGCGGGGUAACGGCCCGCCAUGCCGAAGACGGGUAGGGGCGGUGAGAGCCGUGAGCCCCGAGAUGGGCACUGAGACAAGGGCCCAGGCCCUACGGGGUGCAGCAGGCGCGAAUACUCCGCAAUGCGGGAAACCGCGACGGGGCUACCCCGAGUGCCGGGCGAAGAGCCCGGCUUUUGCCCGGUGUAAGGAGCCGGGCGAAUAAGCGGGGGGUAAGUCUGGUGUCAGCCGCCGCGGUAAUACCAGCCCCGCGAGUGGUCAGGGUGAUUACUGGGCUUAAAGCGCCCGUAGCCGGCCCGGCAAGUCGCUCCUGAAAUCCCCGGGCUCAACCCGGGGGCUGGGGGCGAUACUGCCGGGCUAGGGGGCGGGAGAGGCCGCCGGUACUCCGGGGGUAGGGGCGAAAUCCGAUAACCCCCGGAGGACCACCAGUGGCGAAAGCGGGCGGCCAGAACGCGCCCGACGGUGAGGGGCGAAAGCCGGGGGAGCAAAGGGGAUUAGAUACCCCUGUAGUCCCAGCUGUAAACUAUGCGGGCUAGCUGUUGGGUGGGCUUAGAGCCCGCCCAGUGGCGUAGGGAAGCCGUUAAGCCCGCCGCCUGGGGAGUACGGCCGCAAGGCUGAAACUUAAAGGAAUUGGCGGGGGAG
RNAcentral lists this ribosomal RNA (804 nucleotides) under uncultured archaeon. Its description in RNAcentral is "bacterial SSU rRNA". It matches the Rfam family "Archaeal small subunit ribosomal RNA", at positions 85 to 876 of the family's 1478-position model. The record is from RNAcentral.